This 347-nucleotide unclassified non-coding RNA is filed under the name fungal sp. RNAcentral describes it as "partial internal transcribed spacer region". The stretch from base 1 to 46 matches the Rfam family "Eukaryotic small subunit ribosomal RNA", at positions 1786 to 1831 of the family's 1831-position model. Lineage: Eukaryota; Fungi. The record is from RNAcentral. RNAcentral also lists the same sequence under 1 other name.
AAGUCGUAACAAGGUUUCCGUAGGUGAACCUGCGGAAGGAUCAUUAUCACGUAUCCACGUAUAAACCAUUGUGAACUGUUCUUUUAAACCUUUAGAGUGGGCUGAGUCUGUGUGAACUAGGUAAUUAAAGCAACCUAUUAGUGAUUGGUUGUGCUUAGUUCGCCUCAACUGUUGUCUCUCCGGAGUCGCUUUUGAACUUACCCGCUUUGAAGUGUAAUUUAAUCACUUACUAUUAACCAUUUUAACCCAUCUUUAUAACUUUUUGAACUAACUUAUUUCAUACUCUGCGGAGAUGAAAUUCAUUACGAAACAAAGAACAACUCUUAGCAACGGAUAUCUUGGUUCUC